RNAcentral lists this ribosomal RNA (587 nucleotides) under uncultured bacterium. RNAcentral's name for it is "bacterial SSU rRNA". It matches the Rfam family "Bacterial small subunit ribosomal RNA", at positions 185 to 772 of the family's 1533-position model. The record is from RNAcentral.
AUCGCAUGAUAAUCCUAUUAAAGAAUUUCGGUUAUCGAUGGGGAUGCGUUCCAUUAGGCAGUUGGUGAGGUAACGGCUCACCAAACCUUCGAUGGAUAGGGGUUCUGAGAGGAAGGUCCCCCACAUUGGAACUGAGACACGGUCCAAACUCCUACGGGAGGCAGCAGUGAGGAAUAUUGGUCAAUGGACGGGAGUCUGAACCAGCCAAGUAGCGUGAAGGAUGACUGCCCUAUGGGUUGUAAACUUCUUUUAUACGGGAAUAAAGUGAUCCACGUGUGGAUUUUUGUAUGUACCGUAUGAAUAAGGAUCGGCUAACUCCGUGCCAGCAGCCGCGGUAAUACGGAGGAUCCGAGCGUUAUCCGGAUUUAUUGGGUUUAAAGGGAGCGUAGGUGGAUUGUUAAGUCAGUUGUGAAAGUUUGCGGCUCAACCGUAAAAUUGCAAUUGAUACUGGCAGUCUUGAGUACAGUUGAGGUAGGCGGAAUUCGUGGUGUAGCGGUGAAAUGCUUAGAUAUCACGAAGAACUCCGAUUGCGAAGGCAGCUUACUAACCUGUAACUGACAUUGAUGCUCGAAAGUGUGGGUAUCAAA